This is a long non-coding RNA of Gallus gallus (chicken), 1826 nucleotides long. NCBI's taxonomy places the organism in Eukaryota, Metazoa, Chordata, Aves, Galliformes, Phasianidae. The record is from Ensembl.
AGUUGUUUUGUAGCAUAACAAAAUGCCUAGACUGAUGUUAGAUUUUAGUUAGUUCUGCCUGGAAGGGAAGAUUUCAUGGCUUCUAGAAGUCAAAGGAGAGGAUGAGAACAGCAAUUCAGAAGAUUGGGAUCCAAGAACAACAGUUUGGAGUUGUACCUUUCUCUGGACUCCCUGAAGCAAAAGCAUAUUGGGCAAUGCCAUCCUGCAUCCAGGGUCUGUGACCUCUUUCUGUAGUGUGAAGAGGCAACCUGACUCAAAUCCUUCAGCUGAAGGAGAGUGAGUCUGUAAGAAGGCUCAUCCACGUGUAGUGUUGUAGCUUGCAACGUGCAUGAUUAGUUUGGUUUAACCAUCGUGUUCUGUGCGAUCUCAAAGCAUGAAGGUACUGUCCAGAGUUUGUGGUGAGAUGCUGGGUGUUGCCAGGUACCUGGUGAGCCAAACAGCGCCGGCAGUGAGCAAAGUCAGAAAACACGCAGGCAGUGAUAGUGUGACUGGGGAGUGAAGCAAAGUGCCUGGUUGUGAAGAUCUGCCUGCAUUACUGCAUCUCAGCUUAUUCCUUUUCACUAUGACUGCUCCUCACAAGUGAGCAGAAUGCGCACAGUUGUUUUUGUUGUUGUUAGAGCUCAGUGAACAGUAAAUACAGGUCUAGUUUUGAAUCAAAGAACUCAGCAGCAAAGUGGGUAAAAAGGAUCGUGUCUUUGAGACUUGGAGGGGAAAAAGAUUCCGAUUCCCUGCUUGUGAUUGUUGUGAAGGCAGUGAGAGGAGCUUUCAGUGGUCGAAUCUCCUGGCAUAUGGUAUUUCUAUUUAAUGUCACAGCACAGGUUUCACAAUGUUUAAACAAAGGGGGGGCAGAAGUGCUCUCUUCUGAAAAAGAAAAACAAAACUAUGUGCAAUUUUGCACAGAGGGCAAAAAAAGAAAUCCCUUUGAAUGUCACUUCCAGUCUUUCUUUUCCAUUGGCUGAAAAUGGACUCUUGUUCUUGAUGUGUAUUUGUAAACUAGUCUUGCCAAAAUACAAACACUUUGUGUUUCUUUUCACUCCAGAUGAUUUUUGUUGUUACGGUUAUUGCUGAUCAUUUCGCUUCCUUCAAACCAGAUAUUUUAUUUCAAGAGGCCUUCCUUGUGGAUUUUCUCCUGGUCAUCUGCAGCACUACUCUGCUGUUCCGAGGUGGAAGAGAAAGUCGCUAACCUCAUAAGAGAACACUCAACUCCGCUUAGCUGCCUGGAGCUAAUAAUGCGUUACUAAUUUUCCUCUGCUUUGUGGGGCAGGAGGGGAAUUAAAUUCUGCAUAAAGUUGCUACCUCAAGGCUCCAAGUGCUUUGAAAGUCUUUCACUUGGGAGAAUUUCAUAAGACAGUUCUUAAAAUUGGUCUGUUCUUUUUGAGUUAAAUAUGUUUUUAAUUGAUUUGAGGGACCCUUAUUCAUUUUACACUUAGUAUUUGAUUCUCAAAGGGUGAACAGCUGCAAAGUUUGAUUCUUGCAGUACAGUGUUAACGUGGAAAAAAAAAAGUAUCUGCCAUAUAAACAUAUGGUUUUAAAAAGUUAAACCACUCUGGGGUUCGGCUUCACUUUUGGUUAAUAAACUGACAUGUUGUGUCCAGCCUUCCUGGUACGAUCUGUGUGUGCUCUUUAUUGUUCGCUGCAGCUGACGCAGCCCCCCACAGCGUGCACAGCAGAGUGGGAUUUACAGCAGCUAACCGCAUUUCCCUGGGCUGCCUCAGUUCCUUCUCCUGUUCUGAGGGCUCACAGAGAACAGCGCUCACCCUAUCGCAGCAACCAAAACAGAUCUGUACAUGAUCUGACCACCACCUUUUGCUCUCCAGUGAUAAAAC